This 1139-nucleotide unclassified non-coding RNA is filed under the name Hermetia illucens (black soldier fly). RNAcentral's name for it is "vesicle-associated membrane protein 2, transcript variant X2". The record is from RNAcentral. Lineage: Eukaryota; Metazoa; Arthropoda; Insecta; Diptera; Stratiomyidae.
AGUGGAGGCUACCCUUUACUGAGUUGUCCACGGCCAUCACGAAUCAGUCGCUGUGAAAAUUUCAACAAUUCGUGGUCGUGGGAAUCAAUGGCCGGAAAAUCUUCUUAAAAGAGUUUCCAACUAGUUAAGGGCUGAAAUUGUUCUUUUGCAAAUUUCCAUUUUCCUUUCUUUUCCGACAACCCCUGGCUAAGUGACGUGUUCGGAGCGUUCGAAUGUGAAUUGAGUGGCUGAAAUUGCAAUAGUUCAGCGAAUCGUAGUCGAAACGGACAAAGCUUUCUACCAUUUCGAUUUUUCACCAAACCGUUUGCCAACUUACCCCCAGUUCCACUGGAACAUUCUUACGGGAGUGAAUCAAUACCAAAAGUGAAUUUGAAAUCCAGAAAAAACUAUAAAAGGACGACAGCAACCCAAAGGAUCUGAGGAAACAUCGACAUUUUGCGUACUUGAGUAGAAGGGGACCGGAGCCGAGCAGCACAGGGAGCGUGAACGAGACAGGGAGUGCACCUUUUCCCAUAUAAAAAAUGGCCACAGAUCCCACAACAGGUAGUGCGCCAGCAGGCGGCGGAGGCUCAGAUGAAAUUGUAGGAGGACCACGAAAUCCACAACAAAUUGCCGCACAGAAGAGGUUACAACAAACACAAGCUCAAGUGGAUGAGGUUGUGGAUAUUAUGAAAACAAAUGUAGAAAAGGUGCUGGAAAGAGAUCAGAAAUUAUCAGAACUAGACGAUCGAGCCGAUGCCUUACAACAAGGAGCUUCACAAUUUGAACAACAGGCUGGAAAAUUGAAAAGGAAAUUCUGGUUACAAAACUUAAAGAUGAUGAUAAUAAUGGGUGUUAUCGGGUUGGUAAUACUUGCUAUAAUCGUAGCUAACUUCAUGUAGGGUGGCUAAGACAAUAGAAAAACAGAAUGCGCAAUGCAAAAAAUAAUAAAAAAAAUAAAAAUAAAACCAAAUUCUUUCAAAAACAAAUCUCAUCAGUUAUCGUCUAAAUUAAGCCCAUACCAAGCUAAAUUCAUGCCAGCAGAUAAUCCACAACCACAAAUUAUGAUGGCUCCACCACAGCAAGUGGUUCCCCAACAAGCACCCGCAGGCAAUCCAGCCCCAGCAGCUCCAGCCGCAUUUGUCCAAGCUGCUUUCGAU